This 460-nucleotide ribosomal RNA is filed under the name uncultured bacterium. RNAcentral's name for it is "partial 16S ribosomal RNA". It matches the Rfam family "Bacterial small subunit ribosomal RNA", at positions 338 to 795 of the family's 1533-position model. The record is from RNAcentral.
CCUACGGGUGGCAGCAGUGAGGAAUAUUGGUCAAUGGACGAGAGUCUGAACCAGCCAAGUAGCGUGAAGGAUGACUGCCCUAUGGGUUGUAAACUUCUUUUAUAUGGGAAUAAAAUGUUCCACGUGUGGGAUUUUGUAUGUACCAUAUGAAUAAGGAUCGGCUAACUCCGUGCCAGCAGCCGCGGUAAUACGGAGGAUCCGAGCGUUAUCCGGAUUUAUUGGGUUUAAAGGGAGCGUAGGUGGAUUGUUAAGUCAGUUGUGAAAGUUUGCGGCUCAACCGUAAAAUUGCAGUUGAAACUGGCAGUCUUGAGUACAGUAGAGGUGGGCGGAAUUCGUGGUGUAGCGGUGAAAUGCUUAGAUACCACGAAGAACUCCGAUUGCGAAGGCAGUUCACUGGACUGCAACUGACACUGAGGCUCGAAAGUGUGGGUAUCAAACAGGAUUAGAUACCCGAGUAGUC